This 311-nucleotide ribosomal RNA is filed under the name uncultured eukaryote. RNAcentral's name for it is "partial 18S ribosomal RNA". It matches the Rfam family "Eukaryotic small subunit ribosomal RNA", at positions 1470 to 1796 of the family's 1831-position model. The record is from RNAcentral.
CCCCUAGACGUUCUGGGCUGCACGCGCGCUACAAUAAUACGCACAGCGAGUAUCACCGAGCUCGAAAGGGCAAGGUAAACAAUAGAAAAGGUACUGUAAUGGUUAUAGAUCCUUGUAAUUAUUGAUCUUCAACGAGGAACUCCUAGUAAGUAUGUGUCAUCAUCACGCACUGAUUACGUCCCUGCCCUUUGUACACACCGCCCGUCGCUCCUACCGAUUGGGUGAGCCGAUGAAACUCUCGGAUGUAGGCUAUUCAUAGCCCGCAGAAGAGAUUUGAAUCGUAGCGCUUAGAGGAAGGAGAAGUCGUAACA